This 272-nucleotide unclassified non-coding RNA is filed under the name uncultured Hypocreales. RNAcentral's name for it is "sequence contains 5.8S rRNA gene, ITS2, 28S rRNA gene". The record is from RNAcentral. Lineage: Eukaryota; Fungi; Ascomycota; Sordariomycetes; Hypocreales.
AACGCACAUUGCGCCCGCCAGCAUUCUGGCGGGCAUGCCUGUCCGAGCGUCAUUUCAACCCUCAGAGCCCACCUGCUUGCAGGUGCGGCGCUGGUGUUGGGGAUCGGCCCGCCUCCGCGCGGCGCCGUCCCCCAAAUACAGUGGCGGUCUCGCUGCAGCCUCCCCUGCGUAGUAGCAACACUCGCAUGCGGAGCGCGGCGCGGCCACGCCGUAAAACCCCCGACUUUCUGAACGUUGACCUCGGAUCAGGUAGGAAUACCCGCUGAACUUAA